GAUGAACGCUGGCGGCGUGCUUAACACAUGCAAGUCGAACGAUGAAGCCCAGCUUGCUGGGUGGAUUAGUGGCGAACGGGUGAGUAACACGUGAGUAACCUGCCCUUGACUCUGGGAUAAGCCUGGGAAACUGGGUCUAAUACUGGAUAUGACUUCUCAUCGCAUGGUGGGGGGUGGAAAGAUUUAUUGGUCUUGGAUGGACUCGCGGCCUAUCAGCUUGUUGGUGAGGUAAUGGCUCACCAAGGCGACGACGGGUAGCCGGCCUGAGAGGGUGACCGGCCACACUGGGACUGAGACACGGCCCAGACUCCUACGGGAGGCAGCAGUGGGGAAUAUUGCACAAUGGGCGCAAGCCUGAUGCAGCGACGCCGCGUGAGGGAUGACGGCCUUCGGGUUGUAAACCUCUUUCAGUAGGGAAGAAGCGAGAGUGACGGUACCUGCAGAAGAAGCGCCGGCUAACUAUGUG
This 466-nucleotide ribosomal RNA is filed under the name uncultured bacterium. Its description in RNAcentral is "partial 16S ribosomal RNA". It matches the Rfam family "Bacterial small subunit ribosomal RNA", at positions 28 to 507 of the family's 1533-position model. The record is from RNAcentral.